This 497-nucleotide ribosomal RNA is filed under the name uncultured bacterium. RNAcentral describes it as "partial 16S ribosomal RNA". It matches the Rfam family "Bacterial small subunit ribosomal RNA", at positions 28 to 507 of the family's 1533-position model. The record is from RNAcentral.
GAUGAACGCUGGCGGCGUGCCUAAUACAUGCAAGUCGAGCGAACGGACGAGAAGCUUGCUCCUCUGAUGUUAGCGGCGGACGGGUGAGUAACACGUGGAUAACCUACCUAUAAGACUGGGAUAACUUCGGGAAACCGGAGCUAAUACCGGAUAAUAUUUUGAACCGCAUGGUUCAACAGUGAAAGACGGUCUUGCUGUCACUUAUAGAUGGAUCCGCGCUGCAUUAGCUAGUUGGUAAGGUAACGGCUUACCAAGGCAACGAUGCAUAGCCGACCUGAGAGGGUGAUCGGCCACACUGGAACUGAGACACGGUCCAGACUCCUACGGGAGGCAGCAGUAGGGAAUCUUCCGCAAUGGGCGAAAGCCUGACGGAGCAACGCCGCGUGAGUGAAGAAGGUCUUCGGAUCGUAAAACUCUGUUAUUAGGGAAGAACAUAUGUGUAAGUAACUGUGCACAUCUUGACGGUACCUAAUCAGAAAGCCACGGCUAACUACGUG